RNAcentral lists this ribosomal RNA (447 nucleotides) under uncultured bacterium. RNAcentral describes it as "partial 16S ribosomal RNA". It matches the Rfam family "Bacterial small subunit ribosomal RNA", at positions 331 to 793 of the family's 1533-position model. The record is from RNAcentral.
CCAGACUCCUACGGGAGGCAGCAGUGGGGAAUAUUGCACAAUGGGGGAAACCCUGAUGCAGCAACGCCGCGUGAGUGAGGAAGUAUUUCGGUAUGUAAAGCUCUAUCAGCAGGGAAUAGAAAAGAAGGUACCUGAAAAAGAAGCCCCGGCUAACUACGUGCCAGCAGCCGCGGUAAUACGUAGGGGGCAAGCGUUAUCCGGAUUUACUGGGUGUAAAGGGAGCGUAGACGGAAAGGCAAGUCAGAAGUGAAAGCCCAAGGCUCAACCAUGGGACUGCUUUUGAAACUGGCAAACUGGAGUGUGUGAGAGGAUAGUGGAAUUCCAGGUGUAGGAGUGAAAUCCGUAGAUAUCUGGAGGAACAUCAGUGGCGAAGGCGACUAUCUGGCACAUAACUGACGCUGAGGAGCGAAAGCGUGGGUAGCAAACAGGAUUAGAUACCCGCGUAUG